RNAcentral lists this long non-coding RNA (248 nucleotides) under Manihot esculenta (cassava). Its description in RNAcentral is "long non-coding RNA (MESC_LNC012934)". The record is from RNAcentral. Lineage: Eukaryota; Viridiplantae; Streptophyta; Magnoliopsida; Malpighiales; Euphorbiaceae.
UGUGGAUUGGUUAUUGGAUGACCCUUUAGUCCUCAUAUGAUAUGAUGAUGUUACGGCAUGAUAUGGUAUGGAAGUCCAGGUUGUACCCAUUCUACGUCCCUGGCACUAUGUAAGAGAAAGUCCAGGUUGUACCCAUUCUACGUCCCUGGCACUAUGUAAGAGAAAGUCCAGGUUGUACCCAUUCUACGUCCCUGGCACAUUGGUAUGUUAUGAUAUGUUAUGUUAAGAGAAAGACCGGUUGUACCCAU